Daucus carota subsp. sativus is the source of this 1137-nucleotide long non-coding RNA. RefSeq lists it as uncharacterized. NCBI's taxonomy places the organism in Eukaryota, Viridiplantae, Streptophyta, Magnoliopsida, Apiales, Apiaceae. The transcript has 4 exons. The record is from RefSeq and is a predicted model, not a curated record.
AGGGUCACAGAUCGGGGUAGUAACAUAAGGUUGCAGGGCUGUUAAUGGAGGUUGGGGAUUGUGUGUUUGAGGGUCGGUGGCGACGCCACCACUGUUAAUCUAAGAGUGGAUUGGGGGUCGCAGAUCUGGGUAGCACAAGAGUUGUAGCACAACUGGGUACAUGCCAAAUGUGUUCUCCACACUCUCUCUCAUCCAUUUUGUCUCCAUUAGAGGCAAAGCUCUGGCAAGGCUCAAGAGCUCAAAUGAAGACAUAUCGAUGGGGUGACAUGUAUGGCUAACAAUCCGAGUAAUUUAAGGCAAAAGAAGGGUGCAUGGCCUUUUACUUGAAGUCAUCAAACACGAAAACAAUAUGAUAAGGGAACCAACCGUCCCAAAGAAAAUCCUGCCAGCAUUCCUCCAAGUUCUAGAUAAACUUUAGAUACUACAAUUACGGCAGCACCAAGGUUGAUGGAGCUCACAUCUAUAGAAACACAUGCUGAAUGAUAUGCAAGGCCAGGUUGAUUAAUUUUUGUGAGGUUGCAAUUAAAUGUAGAUUCAUGUAUGUUUUAUUUAUUAUAUGUAUUUUAGGUAUUUAUAUAUUUGGGAUUUUCCACCCUUAGUGGAAAUAUUGGUGGAUAUUAGAUGGUAUAUGUGGUUGGUUGUAUCAUUGGUUAUUAACACAUAAUGAAAAUUUUUGUUUACAAAUUUUUGGCUUGUUAAUUACAUUCUCUAGCCUAGUUUAAUCGAGUUAUGUGAAAUCAUUGUAUAUUAUGUUUUUAGCUAAUGGGAUAAUAUAGGACCAUUGUCAUAUAUAACAUGAUACAAUGGCCAUUAUUCAUAAAAAACAUUGUCUCAUAAAAUUGAAAACAAUGAUUUUUGUUACAAAACCAUUGUCUAAGCAAAUGACUUGCAAUAAUGAUGAAACAGAAACAAUUGUUAAAACAUGUAAAAGACAACUAACAUUAUAAAGAAAACCAUUGUCUGACAUAAUUAAACACAAUAACCUGGGUAAUUAAAAUAUUGUUAGAACAUGCCUUACACAAGUAGGCUGGUGUUCUAAACCCGUUGUGUAAGAGAGGAAAUAACAAGCAUCUCUAUUUCAAAUAUCGUUGUCCGAUCUUCUUACUAACAAGUGUAGCUAACUAAUGAAACCGUUGU